GACGUAGGGUGCGAGCGUUGUCCGGAUUUAUUGGGCGUAAAGAGCUCGUAGGCGGCUCGUCGCGUCGACCGUGAAAACCCGCGGCUUAACCGCGGGCUUGCGGUUGAUACGGGCGGGCUAGAGUUCGGUAGGGGAGACUGGAAUUCCUGGUGUAGCGGUGAAAUGCGCAGAUAUCAGGAGGAACACCGGUGGCGAAGGCGGGUCUCUGGGCCGAUACUGACGCUGAGGAGCGAAAGCCAGGGGAGCGAACGGG
This 253-nucleotide ribosomal RNA is filed under the name uncultured bacterium. RNAcentral's name for it is "partial 16S ribosomal RNA". It matches the Rfam family "Bacterial small subunit ribosomal RNA", at positions 524 to 776 of the family's 1533-position model. The record is from RNAcentral.